GUCGUCAGAUUGAACGCUGGCGGCGUGCUUAACACAUGCAAGUCGCGCGUGAAGGACUUCGGUCCGAGUAAAGCGGCGCACGGGUGAGUAACGCGUGGAUGAUCUACCCAUGAGUUAGGAAUAACGGCUGGAAACGGUCGCUAAUACCAAAUACGCUCCGAUUUCAACUUCGGGGGAAAGGUGGCCUCUGCUUGCAAGCUACUGCUCAUGGAUGAGUCCGCGUCCCAUUAGCUAGUUGGUGGGGUAACGGCCCACCAAGGCGACGAUGGGUAGCCGGUCUGAGAGGAUGACCGGCCACACUGGGACUGGAACACGGCCCAGGCUCCUACGGGAGGCAGCAGUGGGGAAUAUUGCGCAAUGGACGAAAGCCUGACGCAGCGACGCCGCGUGAGGGAUGAAAGGUCCUCGGAUCGUAAACCUCUGUCAGGAGGGAAGAACCGCCACGGUGCUAAUCAGCCGUGGUCUGACGGUACCUCCAAAGGAAGCACCGGCUAACUCCGUGCCAGCAGCAGC
RNAcentral lists this ribosomal RNA (513 nucleotides) under uncultured bacterium. Its description in RNAcentral is "bacterial SSU rRNA". It matches the Rfam family "Bacterial small subunit ribosomal RNA", at positions 26 to 518 of the family's 1533-position model. The record is from RNAcentral.